Molecule: small nuclear RNA, 104 nt
Filed under: Salvator merianae (Argentine black and white tegu)
Lineage: Eukaryota; Metazoa; Chordata; Lepidosauria; Squamata; Teiidae
Source: RNAcentral
GUGCUCUCUUUGGCAGCAUAUAUACUAAAAUUGAAAUGAUACAGAGGAGAUUAGCAAUGCCCCCUGCACAAGGAAAGAUAAAUGCAGAAAGGCCCUUUCUGUUG